GCCGCUGGCACGAACGGUACCGCGAUGUCCGAGUCGUUCUCCUCUUCCCCCCGUCGCAUCCUGCACGUCCCGCGCAGGCAGCCCGCGAGCAGCUGCUCGUUACAGUCCCGCCACCAGCAAGAUCAAGACCAGUUCAGUUCACGUCCCCCAGGAAGGACUCACCCAACCAUCCUGAUAAAUAAUGAAUUCAUGGAGGCAGGUGGAGUCACGUCAACCUUCCUGAUGAUGAAGCCGCCUGGAUCAAAGGUUACGACCUACAGGACGGACAAGCAGGUUCCAGACACAUUGGGGAAAUUCAAUUGCUCACAAGAAAAUAGUAUGAAGUUGCAAAACAAGAGAUUUUGUGCAUUUUACAAUUUAUUUACAUUACAUAUGUUACAUGUUACAGACGAAAAAUAAAUAAAAAUACUGUCGGUCUUCUUGUACAAAUCGUACAGUGACAUAUGAAACCAAAUUAUGUAAGUAGUGCCGUUAGUUUUAAGUUCCCUCUGUUAAAACGGUUUUUGCAAUUUUCCCUCUCAAAUUAUUUAGACAGUGCUCUGAGGAGAAGCUGGCGUUCGUUUGAUAAUUAAGUUCCCUCUGUUAAAAAGGUUUUCCAGCACUCUUUGCUCUGAAAUAAUUUAGAAAGUACUCCAGAGAAAAAGCAGAGGUUCGUGUGAUAAUUAUGUACAUGAAGCAGUAACACCCCGCUGCUCUGUGCUCGUUUGCACAUUCAUUUCCUUCACUCCCAGAGUUCAGUGUUGUUGCUGUACAUCGUGCGCCGUGAGCCCCGACAGGUCAAACUUCACUGUGAUCCUUUUCAUGCAUGUUUUUCCCUAGAAACUGUCAUUGGUCUAUAAUGCAGAAAUCAAUGAGCCCGAGUAACAGAACUGAAUCAACGCUGGACCUGGACGUUAGGAGGUGUGUUAGUGAUCUGCAUCCUGCAGCAGCUGCUGGGCUUUGGGUGGGAUGCGACGUGAACCAACAUGUCUUGGCCUAAUCAGCCUUCCUGUUUGUCCCAUCAGCCCUGAUGGAUGAUGUUUAUUGUCCUCAUGUGUUACCUCUCUCGCCGCUGAUUUGAACCACACAAUGAUUGUCAGAGGUCACACGACGCGAUUUCCCAGUUUUUAAGUUGGAGCCUCUGUUUUACUGUAGAAAACACUGACUGUGACAUCAGUGUGUCUUUAAUUGCUCUAUUUUUUGUAUUAAUUAUACCAACCAACGUGUUAAUCUCUUAACGGCACAUAGCUCUCAGCCUCACUGAUUACAUGUAACUGAGCAAUUCAUUUAAUUCAUCAGAUUCAUUGUUUUGCUUAGAGUGAAGGAGGCUCAACUGGAUUCACA
This 1323-nucleotide long non-coding RNA is filed under the name Betta splendens (Siamese fighting fish). RNAcentral's name for it is "lncRNA (ENSBSLG00000000265.1)". The record is from RNAcentral. Lineage: Eukaryota; Metazoa; Chordata; Actinopteri; Anabantiformes; Osphronemidae.